UAAAGAAAUGUUUGUAUUGGAAAGCAAGCUAAAGGCUUGCAAGAGAGUUCAGUGCAAAAGAAUCCUGGUAAACAGGAUUAAACUAAAAGCUUUCAUUCCUAAGGAGUUUUGUCCUAGAAUAUGGGUGUCAUAUUUGCUUCAUGUUUUACAAAAGAGAACCUAACAGAACAGAGCUGGCUGGCUGGCUAAAAAAUUGUUAUAAAAAACCACAUCUUGAAUUCACAGAGGAACAUCCCUAGAACCACAUUGCAGGAACCAAUAAAAAUAGAGGAAUCACCCUCGCUAAUAACCUGUUGCCAUCCUCUGUUCCUUGCCAUUAUAAUAGCUUCUCAUUCUCUUUUGGAUUUAUGAUCACUUCCACAAGUGCAUGAUUCAUGAAGAAGAUUUCUUGUUUUAAGGAAAAUAAAACUAACGCAUAUAUGUUGUUUGAUAAGAUGUUUGAUAGAAGUUGAGUAACGUAUAUUUGUUGUGUGUGAAUGUUUUCUUUAGAAGUUUUUAACUUAAUUAGGGGUACUAUGGUCAUUUUUAUGUUUUACUAACACCAAUUUUAACAGGACUUUCUAUUUAGACGGUCGUAGAACUUAGGAAUUUAAGUGUUUGAUUUUAAAAAUAUAGAGAUGAAUCCAUUAAUUACGCCAAAACUCAGAGAGUAAAAUAUAAUUUACCCUUUGAAAUUUAAACUUCGUUUAGAUUUUUUUAGGAGCAAUUCAUUUGAGGGAGUAGGAAGGUUAGAUGGAGAUACUUUUUGUAAAGCUUAUCUAACAAUUUUCAGUGAAGCAAUAGCUAAAGACACAUAAGGGUACAAGAUGGUCAAUUUGCAGUCCCUCUAAGGCUUAUAAAAUAUACUCCUUCCUGCUGGAAGUUGAAUGCUCUUUUCAAGAGGUGUCUCAAACAGAAGGGUUUUUUUAGUUUACUGUGGGGGUGGGUUGGUGGAGAAGGUGAGCAUCCUGUGUGUGUAAAAGAAGGGCAUUAUUGGUGCACAAAACUUCCUGCUUUAAGCUAAACCUUGCCAUUGUGCCUGCACUUGCCUCAUUUUGACCUCCAUACGCUUCAUAAAGAAUAGUUGCAUGUUAGUGCUUAGUAACUCUCUCUCUCCCUCUCUCUCUCUCUCUGUGUGUGUGUGUGUUCUAAUUUUUCAUCAUUGCUGGAGAAAACAGCUGGUUAUGCUUAGUAGGUUAUUUAGGUUAAGCUCAUGUAACAGUUGGUUGAGGUAAUAAUCUAUAGUUUGUAGCUUUGAGAUUGUCAAGUUACCCACCUACUUGCAUGUUGCCAUGUUGCUUUCUCAUUAGUUUAUAUUAUCAAACACAUGCUAUGCUGGUCAGACAUAGGAUUACACAAGGCCGUAUCCUCAUUUUCUACUUUUGUUCGUAGUACUUAAGACUAUAAAUGUCUGCAGAUGAGUCUGAAGAUGGGAGUGAUAUUAUGGAAGCCUCGGAGGAUAAUGAGGAUGGAGAGGACACUUUCAUGCACAGAUAUUCAGAUGCUCUGAAUGAGGAACUGAAGGACACCACCCUUCAGAAGAGCUUUGUUCGUGCAAAUGAUCACUCCAACAAAAAUGAGGUAAUUUUCUCAUCUUUUUUGGUAGAAAUGAUCCCAUAUCAUGCCUUUGUAGAUGGGAGAUGCUUCCUCUUAUCGAGUCAUCAAGCUUCUGAAAAAUGGCAAUCUUUUAGUUUGUUCAAGUUCUUGCAAAAUUCUAGGUCUGCAUUCUUUAUGUAGGAGCCAUGCAACCGUAAGUAUUAAGCUUGUAUAGUUAUUACUGGGGAGCAGCAUGUUGCAUUUAUGUUAAUCGGCAUCCAUAAUCGCAUUUUCCGUUCUCGCCUCCUAGAUUUUAUCAAAAUAAUGUGAUGCAUGAAUAUAUGCCAAAUGCAGGGGACAUCAAAUGCUGGGAAGGACAUGGAUGAAGAAUUCACUCCAGUAGAUGUUGAUGUUAACUUGGUGAAGAGUCUUCUUGAUUCCUUUUCUUCCCAACAAGGACAAGCUGGUCCCGCGUCAAAUCUGCUUGGGCUCAUGGGUCUGCAGCUACCACAGGAUGGCAACAAAGGCAAAUGAAGCUAUCUACACUUGGUUUAUCUGGUGCAAUUGAGGGGAGGUUCAAAACAUUGAUAUUGUUAGAUGACCCUCUUGCAUUAACUUCAGAAUCAAUUGGGUAUCUUAGGUAUACUUUUCUUUGUUGACGAGUAUGUAAAUAGAGGCUACAUCUAUUGGGUAUUUCAAUCUAGUCGUAGUUGGAGAAUUGCGUUGCUUAUGGGAUUCAUGAAUAUUUAUUAUGCCAUUUCGAGCAAUUCCAGAGUGGACUGAUGGCUACAGAUCAAAGAGGAGACUUGUUAGAAAAUGUUUAAAAAAUUAAUUGAAAACUAAUUUUGACAUUAAUUAUAAAAAUAUUAAAAUAAUAGCACAGAUAGCUAUUAUGUUUUUUUAGAAAGCAAUUUUUAGAUUGCGAAGUGAGUUUGAGGCCAGGGCGUGUUUAGCAAUUAGCAUUACUGUUAGAACCGAACUGAUGUUGAGAAAACACUUUUUAAAAAUAUUAUUUAAAAAGUAAUUUAAAAUUAUUUUUAAUAUAACUUAAGUAUAAAAAUAAUGAAACAGUUUUAAAUAAAUGAAAAAAGAAAGUAUUUACCACGUUUAAAAAUAUGCCUUGGGAACAAGGGGGGAAAGCAUACACUUGUCAUGUAUAAUAAUAAUAGAAAUGUUUAAGAAGCAGUUGUAAUAAUUUUGGACUUGAUUGAACUUUAUUAUUAAAUUAAAAAAAAUAAGUAAGAAAAAAACAGUAGAGAUACUUUCCUAAAAGAUGACUGAAUAUUCCCUAAGUGUGGGUUGGAAUAGACCCAUAGAAACUCAAUAUGGGCAGUGAUGGUAAUGUGAUUCAUCCAACCAACCACAAACUGACAACUCAUGAAAGGCCAAUGGAAAUGGGAAAUUAUAAAAAAUAUUAAAAAAAUUGUUAUAAUUUUGUUAAGAAAAUUGUAAAAAAAUGUUUUCAUUCAAAGUAUGUUUCCUAAAAUAAAAUCUAAUGGUUUAUUUAAAAUUAAUUCAAAUCUCUCCGUUUCACUUUGUAGAGUCCUCUUUCUCGACAGAAAAGCAAACUGAGCUUGUGAAAGCCAAUGCCAAUAGGAGCUCUCCCUUUUGGUCAAUCCACACUGAGACGGAGUCUUCUCUAUACAUAUAAAGGAAAAAAGAAAGUACAAACUUCACCUGCACGAUACCCUUAAAUCAAACAUCUUCCCGAAUUCUAGCCAAGAAGAAGAAGAAAAUGGCGUCCCACACGAUUGAUUUGUUGAAGCAGGAACUUCCCGUCCAACAAGAUUCUUUGCUUCUCAAUGGCGAUGUUAAGACCGGACUUGUUCUUGUAGAUAUAGUUAAUGGUUUCUGUACCGUCGGCGCUGGCAAUUUGGUAUUCUUGGUUUUUUUUUUUUUUUUCAAAUGUAUAAUGUUUGGUGCAGAGAUUUUAAUCUUAAUUGUUUGUUGGAUUCUAAAGGCCCCAAGACAGCCUGACAUGCAAAUUUCUACGAUGGUUGAGGAGUCGGUGAGGCUUGCCAGAGCUUUCUGUGACAAGAAAUGGCCUGUUUUCGCUUUUCUCGAUUCUCAUCAUCCUGACAUUCCGGAGCACCCUUACCCUCCUCACUGUAUUGCUGGAACUGACGAGGCAAGACUCGUUCCAGGUAAAUGCUUCACUUUUCCGUUGACUUGAAUGGUCUGGGUUUUCUACUCUCAUGUUUGCUUCGUUUUGGUUUUUGCAAUCUGAAGAAUUGCAGUGGUUGGAGAACGAAGCGAAUGCCACGCUCAGGUGCAAGGAUUGCAUCGAUGGGUUUCUCGGUUGCAUUGAGAAAGAUGGCUCUAAUGUGUUUGUGGAUUGGAUAAAAGAUAAUCAGAUCAAAGUUGUAAGUAUUUUCUAUUAAUUUUCAGGAGAAUGCAAUUAAUGAAGAAAUGUUAAAUAAAAUUUCUUCCUUCCUGUCUAAUAUGGACUGCAUUAUCUGUUAUUGAAGAUAUUGGUGGUAGGGAUAUGCACAGAUAUAUGCGUGCUUGAUUUUGUAUGUUCAGCACUAUCUACCAGAAAUCGUGGUUUUCUUGCUCCUUUAGAGGAUGUGAUUGUGUUCUCUCGAGCUUGUGCUACCUUUGACAUUCCACUUCAUGUUGCCAGAGCUGUCAAAGAUGUUACAGCACAUCCACAGGUAUUGCGAACAAUUUAAUCACAGUUUGCUUGUGCCUACUUAUGUGUUCUCCAUUUCCAUCCAGUUUUGUGUAAAGGAACAAAAUCAAUCAUGUUAGGCCUUGUGCUAUGGAGCAGUAACUUGGAACAAAAACUAGGAAAAAACAGAAAUGGAAGGUUUCACAAGAGGACUUGAACUUCCUCAUUAUGGGCAUGAGGUUUCAUGGACACAAAGCAUAAAGGACGGAUGAGAGCAUAUUGGAUGAAAAUUGCUUAAUGCGGUUGGCUUCUCACAACAAAAAAACUCAUGCAUGUGAGAGAACAAGACAUAGGAGAACAAUAUAAUGUUUUAGAAUUAUGGUCCUAUGUUUUGAAGCUUUGCAGGAGGUUAGCGCCAAAAGUAGCUUUUUCUUUGGAUGGAAUGAGAAGCUGUAUAAAUUGGUGGUCUUGGACUAGUUACCAAUGUAAACUUUGCAGUGGCUGUAGAAGAAGAAGUGGGAUGCAAAGAUUGCUGACUUGUUCUAAAAGUGCUCUUUAAUCAAUGUUUGAAGUAGAAACUUUUUACUUGUUUGCUAUUUCAUCCUUUGCUAUUGCAGGAUUUCUUUUGGAAAAAGUUGUUUCUUUUUUUAGUAGCAAUAUGUACAGAAACUGCUGCAAAACAAACACACAAUCACAGAGAGAAACAGCAGAGAUAUUUGUUCCCAAUUCUUCUUUUUUAUUUGCAGGAACUGAUGCAUCACAUAGGCCUGUACAUGGCCAAGGGAAGGGGAGCUAAGGUAGUCUCAGAGGUGUCUUUUGGUGCACUGCAAUAACCAUGAUCUUGGCCCAUGAGUGCAAAAGUGUGGUUUUCUUAUGCAGAAAGAAGUGAUCUUAUAAAUAGAUUCUCUUUAAUGUCAGUUUAUUCGAGUGUAUUAUCAGAAUUCUUAUAUAAUAUGUGUAUAUAAGAAGAAUAGCAGUUUACUGUUGUGAGCUUCAUGAUAUAGAUCAGUAGCGUAAAUAGUCAGCUCUUUAUGUAAGUUGUUGGUCUCUUGGUAAGAACACAAUACAGAUGUUGAAUUCAAGAACUCAAAAUAAGAUAUUUAACCACAGGGAUCUAGAUAAAUAAAAUAAAAAAUAAUUCCAUUUGAAAUUGCUGAAAUAUUCCUGCUGUUUUCAUUAACUAUAAACAUCUCUAUCACAACAAAAUCAUUGCCUGCCACAAUCAAGGUGAAGCUUCAGCUUCUUGAAAAUAAACAUUUAGAAAAAAAAAAAAAAAAGACUAAAGCAGUAAACCAUUAAAAGCAAUCAAUUAUUCAUCCCUGUCCUGAAACCAUUGUAUUUCUUUUGCAGUACAGGAUGGACACAGGAGAGUAUUGAAUGCUUUUGCUUUUUUGGUUUGUUACCAAAGAUAAACGACCGCAAAGGAACUCCAGCCCGGCUGUCUGAGUGCUCCAGUUCGAUAUUUUGGUGAUUCUUUGAUUCACCAAGAUUGAAUUCCUCAUUCAACUUUGCCAGAGUGUUUUCAACUUCCAGCUGGAGUGUAGUAACAUGAUCCAACCCCGCCUGCAAUUCAUCUGCAACCUUGUUAUUCUCUUGUUUCAUGUUCAAAACUUCACCUCGGAACUUUGCAGCUUGGUAGCUUGUAAACUUGAAGUCAUCGUCUUCUGCGCUCUCCUUCAAAGCGGCAGUUAUUUCUUCUUGAAUGUCACACAAGGAUGAGAAUCUGCUCUUCAGUUCAUCCUUCAGCAGCACACCUUUUUCUAUCCAGACUGCUAAUUCAGUGUGAAUCUCUUGGAGGUGCUUGUAUAGCGGUUUUGCAUCUGAUUUCAGAGAAUACUUUGCAUUAGUGCUACUAUCUUGCUUCCUUUUUUCCUCAAGUUUCAACAACUCGGACUGUAAAUCUUUGAUUUCAGUUUCAAAUUUCUGAAUUUGAUACAAUGUAGUACUGAAUCUUAACCAGAAAUCUAAGUUCUCCUCUAGCAGUUCAUCAAUGCUUGUCCGGAAUUUUUCCUCAAUCGGUGAAAUUUCUGGCUGCUCCAUCAUCAUCAGAUCGACAUCAUCUAUCUCUUCUCUUUCUAAUUUUUGGGAUUCUGUCGAUUUUUCAGAUCCAUUGUCUUCACCCAAGCUCCUUUGGAGAAGGCUCAGCUUCUGAGUUAAGAUUUUGAUAUGUUCAUCCUUCUUUGCAUUAGCACUCCUCAGUUCUUUUAACUGCAACAUUAUGGCAAAGAGGUCAUCCCCAUUUUUGUUUUCUGCAUCAGCAAGCUGCUUCUUGGCUUCUUUAUAGCUCCGAAGAAUUGUAGUAUAUUCAUUCAGCAGAUUUUUUUCUCUAUUUCCCAAACCAUUCAUGAACAAAUGCUUCCAGUCUGGCUCAUCAUCUUGCUCUAUCACCUGCAGUGUUUCAAAAAGGAGAUUUUCCACAGCCUUUGCUGAAUCUUGCUUAUCAACUUUUUCAUCCAGGUUCAUGUCAUGAGAUUUCUCCAAAGGAUCAUCAAUUUCACCACUUGUCUGCAGCAGACUUGCAUCUUCUCCCCUAUUUCUGUUAGAGAUGCUGAGAUCAUGUUCUUUUAUCUCUUCCUUUUUCUCAUAUGUAGCCUUUUCUUUAUGUGAAGAAACUAAAACCCCGAUCUCCCCAGCUGACUUCACUUGUGGAGCAUCAAGAAUGCCGUCAGGACCUAGUGCACUUCCUCGUCCUGUGGAUUCUUCAUGUGAUCUACCUGAAACCUUGACAUCCUCAGGAUUGAGUUUUUCUUCUUGUUCUUGUCCUUGUCCUUUCAACUCAGCAUGCCCAUUGACUUCUGCAGAAAAGUCCUUUUCUUUGUGUGAAGAUUCUGAAACCUUGAGUUCCUCUGUACUAAGUCUUUCUUCUCGGUCGUUUGACUCUGCCUGUGAAUUGACUUCAGCAGGAAGUUUCUUCUCUUUCUCCAAAGAGUCUGGAACCUUGAGUUUCUCUUGUAGCUCCAUAUGUUGUGAUUCAUUAGGACUGUCAUUAAGACACAGGCCAACUUGUUGUCUUCUGAGUUCUUUACGUGGUUUACUUGAAACCUUGUGCCCCUUUUCUGACUUCAAUUGGUGUGGUUCAUGGAGGUCAUUUUUAUCAUUCAGAGCACCUUCUUGUCUGUUGAUGUCGCAGUGCACUUCUUCGUCAUGUGAUCUACCUGAAACCUUGAAAUCCUCAGGAUUAAAUUCUAUUCCUCCUCCUUUCAACUCAGCUUGCAAAUUGACUUCUGCAGAAAAUUCCUUUUCUUUCUGUGAAGAUUGUGAGAUCUUGAGGUCCUCCUUAUUAAGUUUUUCUUCUAGCUCCUUUGACUCUGCCAGUGAAUUGUCUUCAGCAGUAAGAUUCUUCUCUUUCUGCAAGGAGUCUGGAACCUUGAGUUCCUCUUGUAGCUCCACAGGCUGUGAUUCAUUAGGACUGUCAUUAAGGGACAGUGCAACUUGCUGUCUUCUGAGUUCUUUGCGUGGUUUACCUGAAACCUUGUUCUCCUUUUCUGACUUCAAUUUCUCUUGUUCGUGAAGGUCAUUUUUGUCAUUCAAUGCAUCUUCUUGUCUGUUGAUGUCUCCAUGCACUUCUUCGUCACGUGAUCUACCUGAAACCUUAGGAUCCUCUAGAUUAAAUUCUACUCCUUGUCCUUUCAACUCAGCCUGCAAAUUGACUUCUGCAGAAAAUUCCUUUUCUUUCUGUGAAGAUUGUGAGACCUUGAGCUCCUCCUUAUCAAGUUUUUCUUCUCGCUCCUUUGACUCUGCCUGUGAAUUGACUUCAGCAGUAGGAUUCUUCUCUUUCUGCAAGGAGUCUGGAACCUUGAGUUGCUCUUGUGAUUCAUUAGGACUGUCAUUAAGGGACAGUGCAACUUGCUGUCUUCUGAGUUCUUUACGUGGUUUACCUGAAACCUUGUCCCCUUCUUCUGACUUCAAUUUCUGUGGUUCAUGGAGGUGACCUUUAUCAUUCUGUGCACCUUCUUGCCUUUUAUCACCUUGUUGUUUACCUAAAUUCUUGCUAUCCGCUUCUGAGUUUGUUUUCUGCAGUUCAUGGAGGUCAUCAUUACCAUGCCAUGCACCUUCUUGUCUUUCGACAUCUAUAUGUUGUUUACCUAAAACCUCGCUCUUCUCUUCUGAAUUUAUUUUCUGCUCCUCAUGGAGGCUAUCAUUACCAUGCAGUGCACCUUCUUGUCUAUGAAGGCUAUUGUUACCAUUCACUUCACCUUCUUGACUUCUGACCUCUUGUUGUGGUUCAACUUCAACCAGAGGUUUCUGUUCUGUCUGUUGUAUGGCCUGGAGGCUAUCAUUAUCAUGCAGUGCACCUUCUUGUUUAUGGAGGCUAUCAUUGCCAUUCACUGCACCUUCUUGUCUUCUGACCUCUUGUUGUGGUUCAACUUCAACCGGCUUCGGUUCUGUCUGUGAUGUGGCCUGGAGGCUACCAUUACCUUGCAGUGCACCUUCUUGUCCAUGGAGAUUAUCAUCACCAUUCACUGCACGUUCUUGUUUUCUGACCUCUUGUUGUGGUUCAACUUCAACCAGAGGUUUCCGCUCUGUCUGUGGUGUGGCCUGAUGCUCCUCAUCUGGCUUCAAAUCAUGCAGUUUAUCCGAUAUGUGACCAAGAUUAUAGUGUGUUUCAGUAAAAUUUGUUUGAAGAAUAUUGUUCUGGUCUUCAAUAUUUCUGUUUAAUUCCUGAAGUCCAAGCAGCUUUACCUCCAUUUCCUUCAGCUUUUCUCUCAGAUCAUUUUUCCCAUUGAUUAAUGUUGCCUUGUCAUCCUCCAAAAUUCCAAUUUGUGCUUGAAGAUCAUCUGUCUCUGCUCUCAAUCUCUGUACGAGUGCCGUCUGUGUUGAAACUGCAGCUUCUAAGCUAAUCACCUUGUUCACAAGCCCGUCAAUCGUCUCUGCAAGUUCUGUCACACUGAGAGAUGCAUUAGAUUCCACCUCAAGGUGUUCCUUAAUUUUUGCACUUAACUUUUCCAAAUCCUUCCUCUCUUGUGUGACAAUGCUCGGUUCUUGGUCUAAGUUUUUCAACUCCCUAACUGCCUUCUUAGGUUUAUCUUUGGCUUUUGGCUUUUCAUGAUUGAUCUCACCAUUGAGAAACUCAUCUUUGAGAGACUUCAACUUCUCCCUGGCAUCAUUAAUCCGUUUGCCCUCAACCAUUGCUUCUCCUACAGAUUUCUCUUGUUUCUCCUCCAACCGAGCCAAUGUCUCCUGGCAUGAUUUCAAGGCUGCUGAAGCCAUCAAUUCCCGUGCCUCAUCAUCUUCAAUGACUGUGCCUGAGCCAAAUUCAUCUUGUAAACUACAAACCUUAGCCUGCAUUUCCCUGAUUUUCUCAUCAAUUUCCCAAUACUUUGCUAGCCCACCCUCAUAAGAACUCUUCGCAAAUUCCUUUUCAGUCUGCAAAGUCAGGAUUUCUUUCUGCAGCUUGUCAAUCUCCUUAAGCCCUUUAGAUUUGCUUAAACCAGAUUUUGGAACAUUAGCAGAAUUUGUUGUUUUCAUCGACUUCUUCGAUUGUAAAUUCUUCGGUGCUGAGUGUGAGAUACCCUUUACCUCUUUGGGAGUCUUUGGAACCUUUGGGACAUUUGUUUUUGAGGCUUCUUGAGACUUCUUUGGGAAUCUUGGUGGGGCACGAUCUUCCUCAUCUUCCAUAAAUUGAACUUGCUCUGGAAACACAGAAGCAAUGGUAUUAUUGGCAUUUUGUAGCUCUGUUGAUAUGUGAUCAUACCGUUCAGCUAAGGCUCGGUAUGCUCUGAAAGAUUCUUCCACAAAAUAUAUCAGCUCCGGCCGCCUUUUAUAAUACAUUUCUGCCCUCUUUGCAAAGGAGUCUCCGUCCUCUUCGAUGAGUUUGAGCAUAGUCUGGACCUUCUCUUCCAUAUCUGCGAAUUGAAAUUUGUACUGUCAGCAGUAUUUUAGUCAUGCAAUGAUGAAUACUGGGUUAUGACUUGGUGUAUGAAUAUAUUCAUCAACUUGGUGUGCACAAGGAAAAAUCCAUUGAGCCUUUUUUUUCCCCUCAUUUUCUAUACUGAGCCAUUAAAUUUAAUUUUCAGGGUUUUGCUAUUUAACAUGUUUUUGCCAAUAUUUCAGCAAAAAAUCUAAACCAAGUCAGAUUUUGGGAAAUUAAAACCUCAUCCAGGUUUUCAUUUUUUUCAUUUUGAUUGGGUUAACCUGGAAUACAAGAAAAAUACUAAAUUCUAUUGAAGCAUAAAAUGAAGAUUGCCCUUUUCAUCAGAAUUAAGUUCUCCUCUGAUUACAUUUUCUUAUUCACAUGCUUCUAAAUUAUAAAUGGCUUCAAUAAAUCAGAUUAUCAUAAGCCUUCUUUUUCUGGAAUUGCAUUGUUUAAUCUUUAAACUAGAUAAACAAAUUCCAAUCAUAUCAAAAAAAUUAGAAUUUCUCAUAAAUUCAAGUAUUUGCAACAUUAAAAAAAAAAGUAUCCAAAUGGGUGCUACCCACUAAUCAUAGAACAUCUAGGGAUCCAAUUUCAAGCUGCCAAAACCCAGUUCUCGAAAUCACAGGGAAAGAGAGAGAAAAGUUACCUAGAAGGUUUUGUUCCAGCCAUUUUGAUUGCUUAGUUCUGAUGUGGCUUGCCAUCCACCAUGAAUAAGCAUUGCUUGCAGCUCUCUGCAACAUCUUUUGUUCUCUAAUCUCUCUAUCUCUCUAGACCAGAAUAUAUGCAACCCCUUAUUUAUUUUCUCUUCAACAACAAGGAUACAAGACAUGGAACCCAAUACCCUUUGUUUCAAGAGAGAGAAAGACAAGAAAUUUAAUGAAUAAAAUAAAAAAGAGGAGUCUUUGAAAUGGGAAGAACACAAGACUUCUACAAGAAACGUGCGAGAAAGAAAGGAAUGAGGCAUCUCUGUGUUAAUGUACGUUAUGGAUAAAAACUAAAUAUGGGAUCAUGGAGGAGAGUAAUUUUCGCCUGGAGUUACUUGCACAACCUUCCCUUUUAAAUAAAAAUCAAUUGAAAAAAUUGCUAAUAUCAUAGAAAAUAAAAAAAAAAAUUAAAAGACAAAAAAAAAAAAGAAUUGAGUAGUUAUAAUUCUCAUGGUUUUGCCUUUCCAGAGUGUGGCAGAGCAUCUACUUUUCCUUUUUUUUCUUUUUUUCUUUUUUCUUUAUAGACUUGCCUUUUCUAAUAUAUGGAAAAAUCAACCAGCAUUAUUCAUUAUUAUGGAUAAAAGUUGAUGAAAAAAAUCUGAGUCACCCACCCUAGAGGUUCUCAUAUUUAAAAAAAUAAAUUAAAAAGUUAUUUUUUUGUUUAACUAAAUAAAUAUUUAAUAAAUUAAAAUUAUAAUUUUUAUUAAAUUUAAUUCUGUAAUUAUAUUGUAUUUAAAUUUGUUAAAUGUAAAUACUGAUCUCCUAAAUGUAGAGAGGGGUUUGCCCCUCAUUCAACCAGAUUGGCUUUCCAAAUGGAUUAGAUAUAAAAUUUGUUAUUGGUGGAGAUCUCAUUCAACAGAGUAUUGAAUUUGAUAUAAAUUUAUAUAAUUUUUUUAAUAUUAUAAUAGUAUAUAAAUUAAUUAAUAUAAUCUUAUUUAAUUUAAUUUAAUUUUUAAUUUUUUUUAAUAUUUUAUAAAAGGUAAUUUUUUAUUUUUCAUUUUUUUAAAAAGGAAGCAUUCUGCAGGAAAAAAGAUAAAUCAUAUAGGCUUCAAUUUUGGAGUGAAGAUCAAGCAACUCAAAAGGGUCCAAAAAGGUCACAUCUUUGACUCUAUAGGUAGGCUAGGAAAAUGUGUUUAAGCUUUGGAGAAAUAAAUAAAAAGAAAAUAUAAAAUUUUGCAAAAUAAAAAAGAUGGUUUUACAUAUAAACCAUGAGAUUAAUAGUAGGAGUGCUAAUAAGUUACUAAUAAAUUUCGGUCAAUUGGACUUGUAUAGUCAUCAAAUCAAUUAAUCCAAAUACUAAUUAAAUUCUACAAUCGUAUUGUAAUUUUCACCCGUAUACGUUAAAUUUAAGUAUUUAUUGUAUUGUAAUUACUAAAUUUAAUUUAAUUUUAAUUAUUAAAUUUAAUUUUAUAUCAUAAAAAUUAUUUAUUUUUUUAUUAAAAUUUUAAAUAAUAUCAUCUCAUAAAAUUCCUGGUUGUAUUUCUUUAUAACUUCUCUUAUAUGAAUAAAAUUAAAAGAAAAGAGUUCUUCCUGUAACUAUUUCUUUAGCCUAUAUAGCAAAUGAUUUUUUUAUUUAAUUUAUGUAAAAUAAGUUAAAUUUUAUUGAAUUACUGUUUAAAAUUUAAAUAGUGAAUUAAGUGAAUAAAACACUAAAAUUCAGUAAUCAGACAAGAGAGUUUGAAAUGGACGUGGCAGGUGGAGAGCUGAGUAAGAUGAUUAGAGACGGCCACGUAUGGAGUAUUUGCUUGCUUUAAUGGAAUUUUAUUAGAAUUUAAAUGUAAUUUUUAGAUAAUUAAUUUACGUAUUAAAAAAUGUUGAAUGAGUUUGAGUAGAAAUAGACUUCAUCUUGGGCAUAUCUCCAUGAUGAUAGGUAUUAUCACCAAUUCAUGAGUUUCGUGAUAAUUCACUACAUCAAACUUUAAAAAGCAAUUAAUUAUCAAGGAAGAGAAGAAUCCAUAGUCAAUGGGUGAAGGAAAUUAGCAAUUGGUUAUGAAAACGAUAUGCAAAAUUUCAUUACAUUAUUUUUUUAACAAAAAUAUUUUAUGUGGAUUAAAGUAUGAUACACAAAAAAAUUAUUUAAAUUUUAUUAAAAAUAGUUAAAUCAUGGUAAGUAAAAACUAUUUUAACGUAAUUUUAUAAAAUAUUAGUAAUGUGAUUGAGAAAAAGUUACACCAUCAAUUUUUCAAAAAAAUAAUAUGAAAUGAUUGAAACGUAGAACAUUCAUUUUGAUAUUUAAAUUAAUAAUGAGAGAUUUAUAAUUUAAUCCUUAAAUAUUGUUAUUAUUAACAAGUCAAUCCCUAUAUUUUUAGAAAUAUAUUAAAACGUUCUUAUCUUUUAUUUUUAUCAACAAAAUAGUCAUUCCGUCUAUUUUUACCGUUAAAAAUAUAGUAAAAAACUAAAUUACCCCCCAUUAUUUUCCUCCUCCUCCUUCCUUUUCUUCUUCAUCAAUUCUUCCUCCUUCUGCUUCUUCUUCUGCUUCUCCUUCUGCUUCUUCUUCUUCUUUUUCUUCUUUUUUUUCUUCUUUCUCUUCUUUUUCUUCUUUUUCUUCUUUCUCUUCUUUCGCUUCUUCUUCUUCUCCUUCUUCUCCUUUUUCUUUCUCUUCUCCUUCUUCUCCUUCUUCUUUCUCUUCUUCUUCUUCUCCUUCUUCUUUUUCUUCUUCUUUUUCUUCUUUCUCUUCUUCUUCUUUCUCUUCUUCUUCUUCUGCUUCUUCUUCUUCUUCUUCUUCUUCUUUUUCUUCUUCUCCUUCUUCUCCUUCUUUUUCUUCUCCUUCUUCUUCUCCUUCUUCUUCUUUUUCUUCUUUUUUGAAGGAAGAGGAGGAGGAGGAGGAGGAGGAUGAGGAGAAAAGAAAAGAUAAGGACUAUUUCGUUGACAAAAAGAAACGAUAAGGAUAUUUUAAUAGAUUUGAGCAAAGACAGGGACUAUUUUGUUGACAAACAGAAACAAUAAAGACGUUUUAAUAGAUUUCUAAAAAUAUAGGGAGAGACGAUUUCGUUAACGGAAAGAAACGAUGAGGAAAGACUAUUUCGUUGAUGGAAAGAAACGAUAAGGAUGUUUUAAUAGAUAUGAAAAAAGAUAGGGACUAUUUUAUUGACGAAAAGAAAUGAUAAGAACGUUUUAAUAGAUAUGGAAAAAGAUAAAAAUGUUUUAACAGAUUUUUAAAAAUGUAAGGACUAACUUAUUAAUAAUAACAAUAUCCAAGAGCAAAUGAUUUUAUUUGAGUGUAAAAUUGGAUUUUAAAAAUUUUCUCUAUCAUCCUUUAUCUAAUUUUAACGGAAAAGAGGACGUAAUGACUAUCUCGUUGACGAAAAGAAAACAUAAGGAUGUUUUAAUAGGUUUCUAAAAAUACAAGAACUGACUUGUUAAUAAUAGCAAUACUCAGGGACUAAAUUGUAAAUCUCCCAAAAAAAUUAGAAAAAAGUGCUAGUGUAAUAAAUUAUUUAAAAUUUAAUAAUAAUUGUGUAAAAAUAUGUAUUUACACAAUUAUUAUUAAAUUUUAAUAAUAAUUAGCAAUUGGUUAUGAAAACGAUAUGCAAAAUUUCAUUACAUUAUUUUUUUAACAAAAAUAUUUUAUGUGGAUUAAAGUAUGAUACACAAAAAAAUUAUUUAAAUUUUAUCAAAAAUAGUUAAAUCAUUGUAAGUAAAAACUAUUUUAACGUAAUUUUAUAAAAUAUUAGUAAUGUGAUUGAGAAAAAGUUACACGAUCAAUUUUUCAAAAAAAUAAUAUGAAAUGAUUGAAACGUAGAACAUUCAUUUUGAUAUUUAAAUUAAUAAUGAGAGAUUUACAAUUUAGUUCUUAAAUAUUACCAUUAUUAAUAAGUCAGUCCCUAUAUUUUUAGAAAUAUAUUAAAACGUCCUUAUCUUUUCUCUUCGUCAACAAAAUAGUCAUUCCGUCUAUUUUUACCGUUAAAAAUAUAGUAAAAGACUAAAUUACCCCCAUUAUUUUCCUCCUCCUCCUUCCUUUUCUUCUUCAUUAAUUCUUCCUCCUUCUGCUUCUUCUUCUGCUUAAGACAGGGACUGUUUUGUUGACAAACAGAAACAAUAAGGACAUUUUAAUAGAUUUUUAAAAAUAUAGGGAGGGACGAUUUCGUUAACGGAAAGAAACGAUGAGGAAAGACUAUUUCGUUUAUGGAAAGAAACGAUAAGUACUUUUUAAUAGAUAUUUUGAUAGGGACUAUUUUAUUGACGAAAAGAAAUGAUAAGAACGUUUUAAUAGAUAUGAAAAAAGAUAAAAAUGUUUUAAUAGAUUUUUGAAAAUGUAAGGACUAACUUGUUAAUAAUAACAAUAUCCAAGAGCAAAGGAUUUUAUUUAAGGGUAAAAUUGGAUUUUAAAAAUUUUCUCUAUCAUCCUUUAUCUAAUUUUAACGGAAAAAAGGACGGAAUGACUAUUUCGUUGACGAAAAGAAAACAUAAGGAUGGUUUAAUAGGUUUCUAAAAAUAUAAGAACUGACUUGUUAAUAAUGACAAUACUCAGGGACUAAAUUGUAAACCUCCCAAAAAAAUUAAAAAAAAGUGUGAAUGUAAUAAAUUAUUUAAAAUUUAAUAAUAAUUAUGUAAAAAUAUAUAUAUUAAUCUUAAUAUUUAUUAAAUUUUAUACCGUAAGAAAAUAAAGUUGAUUAUUAAAUUUAUUAAAAAUUCGACUCAUACUGGCUAAUAAAUAAAAAAAUUUCACGGUUAUAAAUAUAAUAUAAUCUACUAAAUGGUAUUUUUUAAUAUUUUUUAGUGAUAAUUUUUCGUAAAAUCUAAUUCUAUUGAAAAAAAAGUGUAAAAUAAAAAAUUACGAUGUUCGAAUUUUUUUUUCACAAAUAAAAAGUGCUUAUUAACUAAUGAGUUAUUUUAGACGAUCAAUUAAGUUAUUUUAGACGAUCAAUUAUUUUAAACCCUAAUAAAAUGUUCAAAUAAUUUAUGAAAAUAAAUAAAUUCUGCAUUAACUUUUUUAUUUUUUUAAUAAUUUACUUAUUCAUAAAGUCCAUAAAUUUUAAUAAAAAUUUAUAAUACCUACCAAAAUGACUUAUUAUGAGGGAUGGAGUCACGUUGGGGCAAGAGUUACGGAACCUCCUAAAAAAUUUUAAAUUAUAUAAAGAUAUUUAAAAUAGUUUUAUAUAAUAAAAAAAUUACCAAUAAAUUUUUAUAUAUUUAAAAAUUUUAUUAAUUAGUAUUUAUUUUAAAAUUAUUUAAUUAAAAUAUUUUUUAUUUUAUAAAAUUAAAAUUUUUAACUUUUUUAUAAAUAAAUUUUUAUCUACCUUUAAUAUUAUUUAAUUCAUUUAGUUUUAAUUAUUUAUUUUAUUUUAUCUCUUUCAUUUAUAUUUUUUCUAAUUUAAAAUAACUUUUUUAUAAAUAAAUCAAGUAUUAUUUUUUAUAAAUAAUAGGUUAGAUUAUGUAAAUUUAGAAAAAUAAAUGACAAAAUAUUGUUUUUAUAAUUAAUAGAUUAGAUAAUUUAAUUUUUAAAAAAUAAAUUUUAUAAUAAAUAUUAUAUUAUUUUAACAGUAUUAUUUUUAUGUGUUUAUAUGUCAUUAGCAUAAUAGUUUUUUCAUAAUAAAUAUUAUUAAAAAUUAAUUUCAUAAUAAAAUGAAGAAUUAACUCUUGAUCGGUUAAUUAUUAACUUAUAUCAAAAUAUAUAUUUAUAAAUAUUAAAAAUAAAAUUAUUAUUAUUAUAUUUUAAUUAAUAAAAAAUAAAUAAAUUAUAAUUUAAUUAUAAUAUUUUUUAUUUUUUUAUAAAUUUUUUAAUAUUAUAUAUUAAACAGAAUCGUUAUAUAUAUAAAUAUUGAGAGCACAUGCUAUCAUAUGAUGCAGAUUUGUUCAAGUAUAUAAUAAAUGUAAUUAUUGCAUACAUAGUUCUUAGGUGUUAGUGAAUUAUAUAACAAAAAUCUAUGAUUGUGAUUUGUGAUUAUUCAUUGUGAGGCAGAAUCAUGAUUGAUUAUUAAAUUAUUCAAUCAUGCAUGUUUAUCCUUGGCAUAACAAUGCAAUUACCUACUCAUUAUUCUUUAAUUUUUCCCAUUUGAAAAAGUUAAUAUAUAUAUAUAAUAUAAUUGGGAAAAGGAUUUUUAAUUAUUAUUUUAAUUAGCAGGUGGAAAGAUGGAAACAAUGGCCAUGAUGUGCUCAUUACGUCGUUGGAGCAUUAAAGGAUUGCACCACCAAUAUUGGCCACCCUUCCUACAUGGUUCAUAAAGGACAAGGAUGAUAGACUACACUCAUGUUUUUUACUAUUUAAUUUAAAAUUAAAUUAAAUCAAAUAAAUUAAAAAUUAAAAAUUUAUUAUUUUUAAAAAUUAAAUUAAAUUAAUUUUAAAUAAAAAUUAAUUUAAAUUGAAUCAGUCUGAUUCAGUUCGAUUCAAUUUAAUUUAAUCAGUUUAGACUUUACAAUGUGUAUUUUAUUUUUUAGAUUUCAUUUUUAAUAUUUUAAAAUUUAAUUGAAGUAUUUUAAUCUUAUUAUAGUCUAAUUUAUAGAAAUGUAUAUGUUUUUAGGCAUUUUUUAGAGUAUUUAAGAGUUGUAAAAGUUAUAUUUGAUUUCUAAUUUAAUCCAUCAGUAUAGGAUUGGAUUUGGGAGACCGUAUAGGUCAGCAGAAAGACAACUGUUUCAGAACUAGACUUGCGUUAGUCAGAGGUGAGUAGAAUCAAAUUAAACUAUUAUUUUAAAGCAAUCAAAUGUUUUAAGCAUGUUCAUGCGCAUGAAUGCUAUAUGUUUAUGAUAAGGAUUGGAUUUGGGAGACCGUAGAGGUCAGCAGGAAGAUAACUGUUUCAGAACUAGACUUGCGUUAGUUAGAUGUGAGUAGAAUCAAACUAAAUUAUUAUUUUAAAGAAAUCAAAUGUUUUAAGCAUGCUCAUGCGCAUGAAUGCUAUAUGUUUAUGAUAAGGUUAUUUUGCAUUAGAAUUUACGAAUAUAAUACUUUUCACAAUUAAUUAUUGUUCUAGAUGGAUUUUGGAUAGCCCUCGAGCAUGUUAUAUUAUGUAUGACGGAUAUAUAAGUUCAUGUCGAGACUUGAUGUUCUAGGCCACUGACACCCGAGCUGCAAUCGAGCCCUUAUAGGAGAGUCAAGCCCAAAGCCUAUCAGAGCCCACUACGCAAGCUAGCCCAUUAGCACACAAUAUAACCCACAAUCGAGUAGGCCGAGCUGAUCGGAGCCCGCGCUCAUCCAAGAGAGACUCAGCUCAUCCAAGAGAUACAAGCUAUGCCACGGGAUCAGCACGAGCGUCAGAAGAGAAUUAAAUGGCCGCCUGACAAUGGUAAAAGGCAAGUACGUCUAUAUGUAGGCUCUGUCUGAUAGCGACAUGUGACCCUAUAAUAGGGUGACGGUUAUGCAUUACUAGAGGAGAAGGAAAAAAGGAAUAAAAGAGAAAGGCACGAACCAUUCAAGCUAACCUUAUACACUCAUAUCAAAACCUUACUUUUUUUUGAAUCUCAAAUCAUCAAUUGGUGCCGUCUGUGGAAAACGAAAGAGAUCUUUCCGUCGCUGGAGUUUUCAUUCUCAUAACACCCACUGAGAUCCAUAUAGCCAACCACAACGAAAACCAUACCACCAAUACCCCAAACGGACCCGAGUUCCACUCAUGAAGGUCAAUAAUUCUUGUUCUUCAGCCCCACAGCCUCAUGGAACCAACCACCCAUAUUGUUUAACCCCUCGCCAAGCUCGGCAGAGAAUGCACCUUGAACCACCCUAUCUGACCAAGAGCUACAAAAUAUGGCUCUCCAGCUUCAAAAUACCGCCUCUGGCUAGGUCAAGUGCUGUAAUAGAGGGGUCAACACCCCGCUGAAUAUACCACUUGUAAUCGAAGGCUAAAGUGAACCCCAACCCCACCUUAAACCACUAAGUUUCCCAACAAAGCAGCCGAAGGACGGACGAAAGAAGUGGAGAGGCCGGCAGGAAAAAUGAGCCUGCGGCUAGAGCAAGGUAAGAGAGCUCAUAAAAAACGAUGAAGUUGAGAGCUAUUCCACUGCUCCAACGAGAAGGUUAGAGAGCGAAGAGUUGGAGAGAGGAUACCGUAUGGAAAAGAGACUGGGGCAGGAAGAAACAGAUGUAGACCAAAAAGAUGGAAAGGCUUUACAACUUCUAGCUGAACUAGAGGCACAAGACAAUAGCUAGACUCUGCUGCCUACAUCCUCUUCUUUUCGAUAUAAAUAAAAUGGUCGAUUCUACGGCCGGUUUUAAUUACAUGUCAUCCCUUGAUGCUAUGUCAGGAUAUCACCAAAUUUCCAUGGACAGGUCAGAUGAAGAAGAAAAUACCUCAUUUAUAACCGAGAAUGGAACGUUACAAUAAGGCAUGCCCUUCGGGCUGAAAAAUGCAGCGGCGACGUAUCAACGAUUGAUGAAUAAGAUUUUCAAGAGCCAGAUAGGGAGGAACGUGAAGAUUUACAUCAAUGACAUGGUAGUAAAGAGCCAAACCUUCCAGCAGCACUUGGCCAACAUGAAAGAAGUAUUCGGCGUGUUAUAGCACUUGGCCAACCUGAAAGAAGUAUUCAGAGUGCUACAACAAUACAGAAUGAGGCUAAACUCGGUGAAGUGCGCCUUUUUAUUAGAGGAGGAAAGUUCCUGGGUUACAUGAAAAAGCUCACAGGAAGAGUGGUGGCACUUAACCGGUUCAUGUUUUGGUCUGCAGAAAGGUGCCUACUGUUCUUCAAAAAACUGAGGAAAGUCCCGAACUUCAAAUGGACAGAAAAUUGCCAAGAAGCCUUUAAAAACUUCAAGCAAUACCUCAGUUUACUACAUGUGCUAAGCAGUCCUCUAACAAGAGAAGAACUCUUGAUAUACUUAGCCAUCUCAGAACAAACCAUAAGUGUUGUGCUGGUAAGAGAGGAAGCAGGGGAGCAGAAGCCUAUAUUUUACAUUAGCAAAAUGCUCAAGGGUGCUGAGGUCAAAUACAUGAAAAUUGAGAAAUUGGCAUUUGUCUUGUUGCUGAUAGUAAGAAAAUUCAGAGUGUACCUGGAAUGCCACCAAUGAGUAGUAAUGACAGACUCUUGAAGAAAAUCAUGCACAGACCUGAAACUUCAGGAGGGAUGCUGGCUUGGUCUGUAGAAAUCAGCCCGUACUACCUCAUAUACUGACCUUAGACGGCUAUCAAAGUCCAAGCCUUAGCUUUAUAGCUGAGUGCUCUUUCAGCUCGGAUCAACAUGAACAGAGUGAGGGGUUACCAAGCUCAACCGAAAGAAGGGAUGGGGACCAACAACUGCGUGAGUUCAGUUGAAAUCUAAUUGUAGACGGAGCAUUCAGCAUCGCGGGCAAUGGGGUAGGAAUACUUUUGAAAGGAUCAGAGGGAUUCAGGGUCUGCUAUGCGGCACUUAGAGUUCGCAAUAUCCAAUGGAGUUCGCAACAUCCAAUGGUUGAGUAUGAAGCCCUCAUAAAUGGAAUGCAAAUAGCAUUAGAAGUAGAGGCAAUCGAGCCCUGGAAGCUGAGCUCGGCGAACAGGAGAUUGCCGUGCAAUAUCAAAGGAUACCCCAGGAGGAAAAUGAAGAAGCAGGUAUGCUCAGUAGACUGUCUGAAGAAAAAUUAGAAUAGCUCCCAGAUCAAGUAUGUUUACAUACAACACAUUGAAAUAGUCCAUGUGGCUGAGAGCCCUCACAGCCCAGGCACAACGACGCAAUUAUCAGGGGCGCGCUCUACCACUGAGCUAAUAGCCCGCACGACGAACCUCCCACCGGGGACCGCUAUGCCAAAAUAUUAAUGUCCUACUUUCGAGAAAUCAGCCCCCAUAAUGCAGAUUGAAGAACGAAGUUAGAUGACCGUACACUUGGAAUACUUGGAGGCAGAAAAAUUGCCGAAAUACAAAGCAGAAUUUAGAAGAAUCACGGCUAAGGCUGCCAAUUAAAAAGUAGUGAGAGGAGGAGGCCACCAAGGUAGUUCGGAAAGUGCACCAGGAAAUUUUGUGGGGCUCAUGAAGGAGCAAUUACAUUGGCAAACAAAAUUUUCAAGUAAGGGUACUACUAGCCUACAAUUAAAAAAGAAGCAAAAGAGUUCGUCAGGAGAUGUGAUGUCUGCCAGAGGUUUGCUAUAAUACCCGGCUAGAUUCCGGCAUCGGAAUCCCUACCUUCCGGCGGAAUCUCUGUUGGAAUCUGGAAUUCUGAAGAUGCCAGAGGCUUCUAGAGGGGUAAAAUGUGUUUUUAAAAUGUUUUCACAUGAUUUUAUGGUUUUAAAUGGGAAAAGAAUUGAGUUUUGAAAAGAAAAGACCAAGGAGGCGUUUGCCAGGUUCGGCCGCCGAAAGUGAAGUUCGGCCGCCGAACAUGGAAAGGUUUUGGGAGCGCUUUUGGCCUCCGAAAGCUUUGUUUGAACGAGCCAAGGUUCGGCCGCUGAGUUCAGCCGCCGAACAUGCAUGAGUUUAGGGGGCACGUUAGGCUGCCGAAGGUCGUUGACCAGGCCACCUAUAAAGAGCCCUCAGAUCGGAAAUGAGCGAGUUUUCUCCCCAUUCUCGAGCUCAGGUGAGUUUUUGUCCUCCCUUGGCCGUUUUCAUGUUUUUCUUCAUUUUCUUCAUGUCUUUAUGAGUUUCAUGGUUGUUUUGAAGAGUUUUCGAGCUUAGAUCUAAGUUUUGGGAGCUUGGAGACCCAAUGAGUAGUUUCCUCCCAUCCCCAAGUUAGGGAUCACACCUGUAACAGCCCGGAAACCGGUAACCCUCCGUAACGGUCCGAACCAUCACUGGCACUAGGAUUCAGAUCGGCUUAAGGCCGCCAGAACGCGUAGUAAGCCGAACAUAAACUUGAUCCAUAAACCCUCAAAAAUACACUUUUUACCCUAAACAUGCAACUCUAUCCAUAACCUCCUCAAAACCUCCAUAACUCAUCAAAAGAAGUUCAGGAUCUGCACUUACCUCUUGAAAUCAAGAAGAUGAACGAUCCUAACUGGAAAGUAUGGAGCUUCUUUCCUUUACACUCUCUAAACCACAAAACUUCUCUUUUUCGCUCAAACCCAUCAAAACAACAUGAAAACCAAUCCAACCUUUGCAAGAUUUGCUAAAACCAUGAAACAUGCCCAUGGAGGACCUGUGCUUACCUCUAGAAGUGAAAAGACAAGCUCUACUUAUCCAUUUCACCGACUGGAGGCGUUUAUCUAGGUGGCAAACCGACUCAGCUUCGGCAGCCUAACCGCAUGCAAAACCAUGCAACGUUCGACGGCCGAACUUGGAGUUUCGGAAGCCGAAUCUAAGGCCCUUUCGGCGGCCGAACUUUACUUCGGCGGCUGAACCUGGCCAAAUCCUCCUUGGUCUUUUCUCUUCAAAAAUCAAUCCUAUGCCACUCUAAACCGGUAAACUACUUGGAAACAUUUUAGAAAAACUUUCUCUUACCCUUCUAGAGACCUCUGUCAUCCUCGAAUUCCACCGGACGGUCGGCAUUCCGAUGCCUGAUCUAGCCGGGUAUUACAACACCAACCCUCGAUCUUCAAGAGGUAAGUGUAGAUCUUUGCUUUCCUUUAUGUUUUAAUGAAGUUUUAAGAGGUUUAAUGGUCGAGUAUGGGUAGGUAUGCAUGUUAAGGUUUAUGUAAGUUUUUAUGUAAAUGUAUGUUUAGGGGUGUUUAUGUGAUGAUAUGUUGGAAGUUUAAACUAGUAUAUGCAUGUGGGAGUGAGUAUGCAUGAUGAGGAGAGAGUAUGUGAGGAUUUGGGUUGUUUUAGAGCAAAUGCAUAAGGUUGAGGGUUUAUGUUACCCUUUAUGCAAAUGUGUGUUUAUGUAUAAUGAAUGUAUUGUUGUUGAGGUUUAGGAUAGUUUGAGACCCCUAUGUGCUUGGUUGCAUGUUGUAGAAUAGUCAAUGCAUGUUUUGGAAGGUUUGGAGGCUGUUGUGCAUGUGAAAGCUGAGUUCUGCCCUUCUGGGAAGAACUCAGGUUCAGCCGCCGAAAGUAGUUUCGGCCGCCGAACCUGCCUGUGGUAGCUUGUUUUGGCUGCCGAACCCUGCCCCCGAAAGUUGGACUUUCGGCUCUGGAAGGGAGUUUCGGCCGCCGAAGGUGCCACCGAACAUGCAUGAGUUUCGUCUCUGGAAAGGGGUUUCGGCCGCCGAACCUGCAUGACUUUCGUCUCUGGAAGGGACGUUCGGCCGUCGAAGGUGCCGCCGAAAGUGUCCUGUCCAGCCUUUUCAAGGUUGUUUUCUAUGCAUGUUUAAGUGAUGUUUAGAGAGGUUUUUGGGUAGUUGUUUACGAGUUGUUUAGAGUGUGUUGGCACCUCAUUCGAGUCCACCUGUGUAGGAUCGGACCCGAGGGACCGAGGAGGCCAUCAGUAUUAGCAGUUGCAGAGUCAGUUCAGCGUCUGCCAGAGGUGAGUAGAACUAAACUUAAUCUUUAUUUUACGAAAUCAAAUGCCUAAAGCAUGUUCAUGCAUCAUGUUUAUAUGUAAUAGGUUGAUUGCACUAGUCACACGAAUAUGACGCAUUGCAUUAUUUACUGUUGAUGUGGAUGGACCAAGGCGACCCCAAUAGCCCUAGCUAUGUUAUAUUAAUGAAGUCCUGAGGAGGCCGAAGGGCCGGACAUAAUUAAGUCCUGAGGAGCCCGAAGGGCCAGGCACCAUGUUAUGUUACAGCCAAAGGGAGUUUUGGUGGUCAUGUCCAAUCCGUUAUGUGAACUGUUUGUGCUGUGACGCAUUUCAUAAAAGCAUGUAAUUAAUGAACUGUUUUUCUGUUUCUACUCAAUGGGCUUUUUAGCUCACCCCUCUCCCCUAACCCCAGUUUUGCAGGUCAGAGGUAGACCAGGAAGACGUCAAGGGUAAAAGUCUUGUAAUAGUAAUAGAUUAGCGUUUUAGUGUGGACAUGUAUUGUAAAUCGAUAUAAUGUAUUGUAAGAUAAUAAAAUGUAAUGUAAUGCAAGUAUAGUAGAGUUAUGUCAUGUAUUAGUACUGUGCUUGGCCCUAAGACUUGGUUAGUCCCUUUUUAGUACAUGAUGUAUGUAUGGUUUAAUGUUGAGUUGAGUUUGAACCAAACUUGUGGCAUGUGUUGUUUACCACGCUAGAGUAUUUGAUGAGGACCCUAGUGGAGGUCCUAUGCUUAUGGUCUUUAAUGCAUGCACAGGUUAGUUUUGGUUCGUUGGAUGUGACUCCGGCUUGAUGUAUGUUGUGUUGACCCAGCUAAAGUUUUGAUGAGGGCUCUAGUAGAGGUUCUUUAUAUUUCCAGUUAUGUUGCAUACAGGUCAAGCUCGGUAUAUACAUCUUAUGUCUAAGUUUCUAUGUUUAAGUUUUUAUGUUAAAGUUUUGAUCAUGUAUGAGAUUUGACCAGGUGAUAGGACGUAUGUUUGGCUUGCUACAGGUCCCGGCGGCCUUAAGCCGAUCUGGAUCCUAGCGCCGGUAGCGGUUCGGGCCGUUACAGAGGGGUAUCGGUUUCCGGGUCGUUACAUUUGCCAACGCCAUUAACAGUCUAGCCUCACUACAAUGGAAUAUAUCUAGCCCCUGGCCGUUCUCACAUUGGGAAAUCGACAUUCCGGGUCAUUUCCUAAAAACUGUGAGGCAGAAGAGGUUCAUCAUGAUAGUAGCUGUAGAAUACUUCUCCAAUUGGCCUGAGGCAGAAGUCGAUACCACUGGGGCAACAUUAUAUCAGACAAUGGCAAAUAGUCUAAUUGCAAGUCCUUCAAGAAUUUCACGAGAAAUAUGGGCAUAUGGCACAAGUUCUCCUCGGUUGCUUACCCCAAACGAAUGGAUAGACAGAGGUGACGAACUGAGCUAUAUCCUUCAAGGAUUGAAAAAAUGGCUGAAUGGAGCAAAAAAGAAUUGGGCAGCUGAGCUGAACAAUAUCAUAUGGGCAUUCCGAACUACACCGCGAAGGUACAAGAGAGACACUGUUUGCAUUAGCAUUUGCAACCGAAGCGAUAAUCCCCCAUAGAGCUGCAGAUCCCCCUCUUUCCGAGUCCAAUUCAACAACGAGAAUACCAACAAGGAGAAGCUGAGAAGCAACUUGGAUGCUCUGGAGGAAAUAAGAGAAGAGGCUCAAAUACGUACCGCUGCUUCUCAGCAGAAGGCAGCUCGAUACUACAAUCAGAAGGUCUGAGAAGGGAGCCUGAAAGCGGAAGACUUGGCCUUGAGGAGAUUAGAAGCAACCAAAAGAGAGCAGUUAUGGGCAAACUGGCAGCAAUAUGAGAAGGCCCCUUCAGGAUAGCUAUAGUCAUCAAGCCUGGGGUAUACUGAAUUGAAGACCUUCAUGGCAACUUGGAGCCUCACGCCUGAAGGAAAUCAGAGAAGAGGCUCAAAUACGUACCACUGCUUCUCAGCAGAAGGCAACUCCUGAAAGCGGGAGACCUGACCUUAAGGAGAUUAGAAGCAACCAGUAAGAGAGCAGCUAUGGGCAAACUAACACCAAUAUGGGAAGGCCCCUUCAGGAUAGCUAUAGUCAUCAAGCCUGGAGUAUACUGUAACGACCCGAAAAUCGGACCGCUACCGGCGCUAGGAUCCAGGUCGGCUUAAGGCCGCCGGGACCCGUAGCAAGCCUGACAUGCAACCUGUAAACCUGUUUAAUCCCAUACAUGAUCAACAAUAUACAUAAUAAUUUAAAACUUUUCUUUCAUUCAAACACCAAACUCAACCUGUGCAUGCACUGAACAUAGACGUAAUCAUAAACAUCGACCCCUCUGUGGGAUCUCAUCAAUGCCCCAAUGGGCAAAUACAACAUAUGUUGAGUUGGUUUACAUAAAUAUCAUAAAAGAUCUAGGAUCAUGCAUUAAAAGGGAUACCUUACACAUAGGGUCAAGCACAACCUCUAAUCCUCAAUAUCAUUACAUUAUAUAACUAUUCAUAACUUUACAUUUUAUCAUGUCCACAUUCUAUUUAUUACAUACAAUGACUUCAAUACUCUUGCUGACCUCCUGGUCUACCCUGUACCUGCAAACCUGGGGAAUUUGGGAGAGGGGUGAGCUACUAGAGCCCAGUGAGCAGAAUAAUAAAACAUUUAAAACAUAUGCUAUCAUGAAAUGCAUCACAUCACAACUAAUCAUAUCAAGGAUGAACUUGUCACCAU
RNAcentral lists this long non-coding RNA (25585 nucleotides) under Manihot esculenta (cassava). RNAcentral's name for it is "long non-coding RNA (MESC_LNC007517)". Lineage: Eukaryota; Viridiplantae; Streptophyta; Magnoliopsida; Malpighiales; Euphorbiaceae. The record is from RNAcentral.